RNAcentral lists this ribosomal RNA (468 nucleotides) under uncultured bacterium. RNAcentral's name for it is "partial 16S ribosomal RNA". It matches the Rfam family "Bacterial small subunit ribosomal RNA", at positions 28 to 507 of the family's 1533-position model. The record is from RNAcentral.
GACGAACGCUGGCGGCGUGCUUAACACAUGCAAGUCGAACGGAAAGGCCCUGCUUUUGUGGGGUGCUCGAGUGGCGAACGGGUGAGUAACACGUGAGUAACCUGCCCUUGACUUUGGGAUAACUUCAGGAAACUGGGGCUAAUACCGGAUAGGAGCUCCUGCUGCAUGGUGGGGGUUGGAUAGUUUCGGCGGUUGGGGAUGGACUCGCGGCUUAUCAGCUUGUUGGUGGGGUAGUGGCUUACCAAGGCUUUGACGGGUAGCCGGCCUGAGAGGGUGACCGGCCACAUGGGGACUGAGAUACGGCCCAGACUCCUACGGGAGGCAGCAGUGGGGAAUAUUGCACAAUGGGCGGAAGCCUGAUGCAGCAACGCCGCGUGCGGGAUGACGGCCUUCGGGUUGUAAACCGCUUUCGCCUGUGACGAAGCGUGAGUGACGGUAAUGGGUAAAGAAGCACCGGCUAACUACGUG